CCUACGGUGUGCAGCAGUGAGGAAUAUUGGUCAAUGGGCGGAAGCCUGAACCAGCCAAGUAGCGUGCAGGAUGACGGCCCUACGGGUUGUAAACUGCUUUUAUACGGGAAUAACGCGCCUUACGUGUAGGGCUUUGCAUGUACCGUAUGAAUAAGGACCGGCUAAUUCCGUGCCAGCAGCCGCGGUAAUACGGAAGGUCCGGUCGUUAUCCGGAUGUAUUGGGUUUAAAGGGAGCGUAGAGCGCAUGUCAAGCGUGCUGUGAAAUGUCCGGGCUCAACCCGGGCCUUGCAGCGCGAACUGGCGUGCUUGAGUCCGCGGAAAGCAGGCGGAAUUCGUCGUGUAGCGGUGAAAUGCUUAGAUAUGACGAAGAACCCCGAUUGCGAAGGCAGCUUGCUGCAGCGGAACUGACGCUGAUGCUCGAAAGCGCGGGUAUCGAACAGGAUGAGAUACCCCAGUAGUC
Molecule: ribosomal RNA, 460 nt
Filed under: uncultured bacterium
Lineage: Bacteria
Description: partial 16S ribosomal RNA
Rfam family: Bacterial small subunit ribosomal RNA
Source: RNAcentral